Molecule: ribosomal RNA, 1512 nt
Filed under: metagenome
Description: bacterial SSU rRNA
Rfam family: Bacterial small subunit ribosomal RNA
Source: RNAcentral
AGAGUUUGAUCCUAGCUCAGAACGAACGGUGACGGCGUGCCUACUACAUGCAAGUCGAGCGGUUGGAGGGGCAACUCUCCAAUAGCGGCGAACGGGUGAGUAAUAUAUAGACAACCUGCCCUUGAGAGUGGGAUAACAACCCGAAAGGGUUACUAAUACCACAUAAGUUAGAGGAACCCAUGUUCUUUGAAUGAAAGUGGGGGACCGCAAGGCCUCACACUCGAGGAGGGGUCUAUAUCCUAUCAGCUAGUUGGCAGGGUAAUGGCCUACCAAGGCGAUGACGGGUAGCCGGCCUGAGAGGGUGAACGGCCACAUGGACACUGAGACACGGGUCCAACUCCUACGGGAGGCAGCAGUAGGGAAUUUUGGGCAAUGGGCGAAAGCCUGACCCAGCGACGCCGUGUGGAGGAAGAAGGUCUUCGGAUUGUAAACUCCUAACAAGGGCUAAGAAUGCAUCUGGUGUGAAUAAUGCUGGGUGAGAGACGAGUCCUGGAUGAAGUCAUUGCUAACUCUGUGCCAGCAGCAGCGGUAAUACAGAGAUGACAACCGUUGUUCGGAAUUACUGGGCUUAAAGAGCACGUAGGUGGUAUGUUAAGUCGGUUGUGAAAGACCAGGCUUUAAGCGUGGGAGGACGACCGAAACUGGCGUACUUGAGGACGGUAGGGGAGAGUAGAAUUCCUGGUGGAGCGGUGAAAUGCGUAGAGAUCAGGAGGAAUGCCGGAGGCAAAGGCGACUCUCUAGGCCGUAACUGACACUGAGGUGCGAAAGCUAGGGGAGCAAACGGGAUUAGAUACCCCGGUAGUCCUAGCCGUAAACGAUGGGCACUAAGUGGGGGGGGUUACUUCCUCGCCGGAGCGAAAGCAUUAAGUGCCCCGCCUGGGGAGUAUGGCCGCAAGGCUGAAACUCAAAGGAAUUGACGGGGGCUCGCACAAGCGGUGGAGCAUGUGGUUUAAUUCGAUGCAACGCGAAGAACCUUACCUGGACUUGACAUGUAAGUAGUAGGAAGCCGAAAGGGGACCGAUCCUGGGUAACUAGGAAGCUUACACAGGUGUUGCAUGGCUGUCGUCAGCUCGUGCCGUGAGGUGUUGGGUUAAGUCCUAUAACGAGCGAAACCUUUAUCCUUAGUUACCAACAGGUAAAGCUGGGGACUCUAGGGAGACUGCAGGCGUUAAGCCUGAGGAAGGUGGAGAUGACGUCAAGUCAUCAUGGUCUUUAUGUCCAGGGCUACACACGUGCUACAAUGGUCGGUACAAAGGGAAGCGAAGCCGCAAGGUAGUGCAAAUCCCAUAAAGCCGAUCCCAGUUCAGACUGCGGGCUGCAAUCCGCCCGCACGAAGUCGGAAUCGCUAGUAAUCGUGGGUCAGCUAUACCACGGUGAAUGUGUUCCCGAGCCUUGUACACACCGCCCGUCAAGCCACCGAAGCAGGGGUAGCCUAAAGUCACUGACCCAACCAGAAAUGGGGGGAGGUGCCCAAGGAAGCCUCUGUGACGGGGACUAAGUCGUAACAAGGUA